Oryza sativa Japonica Group (Japanese rice) is the source of this 1751-nucleotide non-coding RNA. Lineage: Eukaryota; Viridiplantae; Streptophyta; Magnoliopsida; Poales; Poaceae. The record is from RefSeq and is a predicted model, not a curated record.
CCCAAUCCCGUUAUCGAAACAAUGCCUAAAUUUUUUCCCCUCAUUCCCAGUGGCUCGCCGCCACUACUCUUCCUCUCUCUCUAUUCUCCCUGAUGCCGGUCCUAGUGUCGGCGCCUCCGAUGAACGGGGAACCACGUUGCUGCCCUGCGCCAUCCACAGGCCCUGUCAAUCUGCCAUCCGUCGCUGCUCAUCUCCGGUCGACGACGAGCCUCCGCCGACCCUCCCCCUUCCGGUGACCGGUCCUAGCCACCAUGGACUCAGGUGCUCCAGAUCCGGACACCCUGAACUCGGAGGUCGCGGAUCCAACCAUCCCGAGUUUGGGUACUCCAAAUCCCACGACCCUAGCUUCACCAGCUCCAGAUCCGGCCUCGAGGUAAGCGGUCCGCCGUCCCUCACACCACCCCGCGUCGUCGAGGUCGACCUGCCAUGGGGAGAGCAGGCGCCAGCUAUUCCCCUUCCACCCGAUCCUCGGUAGUCACUGCCUCAUCUCUUUUAAUCAGGUUAGUGGUCAGUAAAAGCCGCCCUUGCCUUUCCUUGUGUCCAGAUCUGAGUUGGUGCAUCACUAAGAUCUGUUGCUAUUUUCCUUGUUAGACCUCUUAGCAUAAGAAGUUUUUUUUGGUGUGUUUUUGGAUACUCUACAAAUCCCCCAAUUUCUAUGCUAGCUGAACAAAUUAGACCUAGUUCUUUCUACGAAUCGUGAGCUUCCUGCCAGUUGAUGUCUUUCCAUCUCUUUAGGAGAGUAUUUAACUACUGAAAUGCAUAGUGCAUAGGGAGGACACUAUGAAGGAUGGGUGAAAGACCAAGGAAUAUUAAUGUGAGGUAAAUUUAUUUUUGGCUUCUCACUCAGAAUACCCCCAUUUUAUUUUGCUGUUUUGAAGCAGCUUAUGUUGAGAUCUACAUGCAAAACUAGGAAACGGUGAUUUGUUUGACAUGGAAUUAACCUAUCAGUGGCUUAGAAAAUUAUGAUACUAGCUUUAUGAUAAUUUUAAAGGAUAAUAUAUCUGGAUAUUAUUCUUUUUUUAUAGAAUUGGAUAUAGAAUUUACUCCUUAUCAUAGACUAUGCUUUUAUUGGUCACAUUUAGUUAGAAUUUAGAUGUUGGUUAAUAUCUUCCCUAGAAAAAUAAAUCUAGUUAGAAUGCAGAUGCAGAUGCUUUUCUUAUGCUAUUUUUGCCUUGUCAUUCAUGGUAAUGAUUGUGUGAAUGAUGAACACUAUAGUGUUUUGCUUUCUCUGUUUCAGGAACAAACAAAACAUUUAUUUAGCUCUGUUUGUAUGUAUGAAUACAUUAGUGCUUUCCAGUCUCUUGUACUCUGGUAGUGCAUAUACAUACUUCACACGUCUAAAUCCAUGUAUAUCUUUUGGCAAGACAUACUGAUACAUGUGUUGGAUAUAUACAUGCCAUCUAAACAAAAUUAAUUUCAGUCUCUUUGUUUUUAAAAUUUUAUUAUGUACAAACCAUUUAUAAUUUACCUUAGCUUGCAGCUUAAAUGCCGCAGUUAAAUAUCUGUAGAACGUUGUACAACAUGAAAAAUCAAGGUUGAAGCACCACAGAACUUGGAUUGCUGCUGGAAGACAAUUUCCUUGUACAUGUAUUUGAUGAAUACAAUUGUAACUGAACACAUUGAACUUCCUUGAGUAACUGAACACAUUGUACAUGUAUUACUAACUCUGAUUUGAAUGAAUUUGUUGGUACUGAACUUGGAUGGACUAUUCAUGUAAGCUUUGAAAGCUUGAAUUUUGAUGUUUGAAUUGA